Molecule: transfer RNA, 67 nt
Filed under: Afronycteris nanus (Banana bat)
Lineage: Eukaryota; Metazoa; Chordata; Mammalia; Chiroptera; Vespertilionidae
Description: tRNA-Val
Rfam family: tRNA
About the family: Transfer RNA (tRNA) molecules are approximately 80 nucleotides in length. Their secondary structure includes four short double-helical elements and three loops (D, anti-codon, and T loops).
Source: RNAcentral
CAAAGUGUAGCUUAAAUAAAGCGCCUGGCUUACACCUAGUAGAUUUCAACCUAAUUGAACACUUUGA